Molecule: ribosomal RNA, 232 nt
Filed under: uncultured bacterium
Lineage: Bacteria
Description: partial 16S ribosomal RNA
Rfam family: Bacterial small subunit ribosomal RNA
Source: RNAcentral
AUACGUAGGGGGCUAGCGUUAUCCGGAUUUACUGGGCGUAAAGGGUGCGUAGGUGGUUUCUUAAGUCAGGAGUGAAAGGCUACGGCUCAACCGUAGUAAGCUCUUGAAACUGGGAAACUUAAGUGCAGGAGAGGAAAGGUGGAAUUCCUAGUGUAGCGGUGAAAUGCGUAGAUAUUAGGAGGAACACCAGUGGCGAAGGCGGCUUACUGGACUGUAACUGACGUUGAGGCUC